RNAcentral lists this transfer RNA (64 nucleotides) under Urocitellus parryii (Arctic ground squirrel). Its description in RNAcentral is "Spermophilus parryii (Arctic ground squirrel) tRNA". It matches the Rfam family "tRNA". From Rfam's summary of the family: Transfer RNA (tRNA) molecules are approximately 80 nucleotides in length. RNAcentral also lists the same sequence under 2 other names. The record is from Rfam by way of RNAcentral. Lineage: Eukaryota; Metazoa; Chordata; Mammalia; Rodentia; Sciuridae.
GGUGGCUCAGUAGUAGAGCACUUGCUUUGUAUGCAUGAGGCCCUGGGUUCAAUCUCCAGUACCA